UACCUGUUUGCCUUCGCCGCCGUUCCACUGAACACAUACAACGUGGUAUACCUCGUCGCAAAGAAAAUUUCUUCCCUGGGUUACUGCUACCUGGCCUACUUGUAGCUUUCCUAUCUUUGUAAAUUCAGCUUGCAGUGUUGGACCCGUUUCGUUAUUUAGAGCUUUGCUACACAGGUUGAAAUCUAGCUGACGGGCUUCUUCUGUUGGGUUG
Paramuricea clavata is the source of this 211-nucleotide non-coding RNA. Lineage: Eukaryota; Metazoa; Cnidaria; Anthozoa; Malacalcyonacea; Plexauridae. The record is from the annotation of a GenBank genome assembly.